AACGAACGCUGGCGGCAUGCCUAACACAUGCAAGUCGAACGAGACCUUCGUGUCUAGUUGCGCACGUGUGCGUAACGCGUGGGAACCUGCCCUUAAGUUCGGAAUAACUCCCCGAAAGGGGUGCUAAUACCGGAUAAUCUCUUCGGACCAACGAUUUAUCGCCUUUUGGUGGGCGCGCGUUGGAUUAGCUAGUUGGUAGUGUAAAAGCCGCCCAAGGGGACGAUGCAUAGCUGGUCUGAGAGGAUGACAAGCCACACUGGGAAUGCGACACGGACGAGAAUCCUACGGGAGGCAGCAGUGGGGAAUAUUGGACAAUGAGCGAAAGUCUGAUACAGCAAUGCCGCGUGAGUGAUGAAGGCGUUAGGAUUGUAAAGCUCUUUUACACGGGAUGAUAAUGACAGUAACGGGAAAAUAAGCACCGGCUAACUCCGUG
This 433-nucleotide ribosomal RNA is filed under the name uncultured bacterium. RNAcentral describes it as "partial 16S ribosomal RNA". It matches the Rfam family "Bacterial small subunit ribosomal RNA", at positions 29 to 507 of the family's 1533-position model. The record is from RNAcentral.